Molecule: ribosomal RNA, 589 nt
Filed under: Aspergillus flavus
Lineage: Eukaryota; Fungi; Ascomycota; Eurotiomycetes; Eurotiales; Aspergillaceae
Description: eukaryotic LSU rRNA
Rfam family: 5.8S ribosomal RNA (bases 222-375)
Source: RNAcentral
AACAAGGUUUCCGUAGGUGAACCUGCGGAAGGAUCAUUACCGAGUGUAGGGUUCCUAGCGAGCCCAACCUCCCACCCGUGUUUACUGUACCUUAGUUGCUUCGGCGGGCCCGCCAUUCAUGGCCGCCGGGGGCUCUCAGCCCCGGGCCCGCGCCCGCCGGAGACACCACGAACUCUGUCUGAUCUAGUGAAGUCUGAGUUGAUUGUAUCGCAAUCAGUUAAAACUUUCAACAAUGGAUCUCUUGGUUCCGGCAUCGAUGAAGAACGCAGCGAAAUGCGAUAACUAGUGUGAAUUGCAGAAUUCCGUGAAUCAUCGAGUCUUUGAACGCACAUUGCGCCCCCUGGUAUUCCGGGGGGCAUGCCUGUCCGAGCGUCAUUGCUGCCCAUCAAGCACGGCUUGUGUGUUGGGUCGUCGUCCCCUCUCCGGGGGGGACGGGCCCCAAAGGCAGCGGCGGCACCGCGUCCGAUCCUCGAGCGUAUGGGGCUUUGUCACCCGCUCUGUAGGCCCGGCCGGCGCUUGCCGAACGCAAAUCAAUCUUUUUCCAGGUUGACCUCGGAUCAGGUAGGGAUACCCGCUGAACUUAAGCAUA